CCUACGGGAGGCAGCAGUGGGGAAUAUUGCACAAUGGGGGAAACCCUGAUGCAGCGACGCCGCGUGAGUGAAGAAGUAUUUCGGUAUGUAAAGCUCUAUCAGCAGGGAAGAAAAUGACGGUACCUGACUAAGAAGCCCCGGCUAACUACGUGCCAGCAGCCGCGGUAAUACGUAGGGGGCAAGCGUUAUCCGGAUUUACUGGGUGUAAAGGGAGCGUAGACGGUAGAGCAAGUCUGAAGUGAAAGCCCGCGGCUCAACUGCGGGACUGCUUUGGAAACUGUUCAACUGGAGUGCUGGAGAGGUAAGCGGAAUUCCUAGUGUAGCGGUGAAAUGCGUAGAUAUUAGGAGGAACACCAGUGGCGAAGGCGGCUUACUGGACAGUAACUGACGUUGAGGCUCGAAAGCGUGGGGAGCAAACAGGAUUAGAUACCCCUGUAGUC
RNAcentral lists this ribosomal RNA (440 nucleotides) under uncultured bacterium. Its description in RNAcentral is "partial 16S ribosomal RNA". It matches the Rfam family "Bacterial small subunit ribosomal RNA", at positions 338 to 795 of the family's 1533-position model. The record is from RNAcentral.